This 253-nucleotide ribosomal RNA is filed under the name uncultured bacterium. RNAcentral describes it as "partial 16S ribosomal RNA". It matches the Rfam family "Bacterial small subunit ribosomal RNA", at positions 524 to 776 of the family's 1533-position model. The record is from RNAcentral.
UACGGGGGGGGCUAGCGUUGUUCGGAAUUACUGGGCGUAAAGGGCGCGUAGGCGGUCUGCUAAGUUGGAUGUGAAAACUCUGGGCUUAACCCAGAGCCUGCAUUCAAUACUGACAGGCUAGAGUUCUGGAGGGGAUAGCGGAAUUCCUGGUGUAGCGGUGAAAUGCGUAGAUAUCGAGAGGAACACCGGUGGCGAAGGCGGCGAUCUGGACGAUGACUGACGCUGAGACGCGAAAGCGUGGGGAGCAAACAGG